CCUACGGGAGGCAGCAGUGGGGAAUAUUGCACAAUGGGGGAAACCCUGAUGCAGCAACGCCGCGUGAGUGACGAAGUAUUUCGGUAUGUAAAGCUCUAUCAGCAGGGAAGAAGAAAGACGGUACCUGACUAAGAAGCCCCGGCUAACUACGUGACAGCAGCCGCGGUCAUACGUAGGGGGCAAGCGUUAUCCGGAUUUACUGGGUGUAAAGGGAGCGUAGACGGCUGUGCAAGUCUGAAGUGAAAGCCUGUGGCUCAACCGCGGAACUGCUUUGGAAACUGUAUAGCUUGAGUACUGGAGAGGCAUGCGGAAGUCGUAGUGGAGCGGUGAAAUGCGUAGAUAUUAGGAGGAACACCAGUAGCGAAGGCGGCCGGCUGGACAGAAACUGACGUUGAGGCUCGAAAGCGUGGGGAGCAAACAGGAUUAGAUACCCGGGUAGUC
Molecule: ribosomal RNA, 441 nt
Filed under: uncultured bacterium
Lineage: Bacteria
Description: partial 16S ribosomal RNA
Rfam family: Bacterial small subunit ribosomal RNA
Source: RNAcentral